This 404-nucleotide unclassified non-coding RNA is filed under the name Rhodotorula toruloides. The record is from RNAcentral. Lineage: Eukaryota; Fungi; Basidiomycota; Microbotryomycetes; Sporidiobolales; Sporidiobolaceae.
UGUCGUGGAGCAGCAGGAUAGAAGGAACGGUGUGCUUGAACGAUCUAAGCAGCAAAGCGGGCUGGUCCAGCGAUGUCUGGCUGGCAGUAUGCGGGCGACGAACCCUCCUCCUCCUCCGCCAUCUCCGUGCGGCAUCUCGUCUCCUACAUGGCUUCGAGCGCGCGACGCAAGACAGAUACAAACGCAGGACGCGGACACGAAGGACCGUGGGCGACGCUGGCGUCCACCCUGCCAGUACCGUCUCCGCAGCUAUCCGCCCGCAGCUUCUUGGGAGAACGACGUACAGUCGUCUUGCCUACAACUUCAGUUGCCAUCUUCGCUUUCCAGGCCUGCGGUCACCCCGUUCUGUGCAACGUUCUUCUCUUGCUCACCGCCCGAUCUUUACGCUCUCCUGACGGCCAGUC